CACUAUUACAGUUCUUUUAGAAUCUAUCUAGCAAAUUUUCUGGCUUUUCCUAGAAAAUCCCC
Small nuclear RNA from Aotus nancymaae (Ma's night monkey), 62 nucleotides. Its record names the gene U7. It matches the Rfam family "U7 small nuclear RNA". Rfam says of the family: Animal histone pre-mRNAs are spliced by a different mechanism than nuclear pre-mRNAs and self-splicing introns. This processing involves the U7 snRNP, which contains only one RNA species: U7. The record is from Ensembl. Lineage: Eukaryota; Metazoa; Chordata; Mammalia; Primates; Aotidae.